CGGUAAAGCUAUGCACCUGACAAGAGCCUAACUGUUGCCAUAGUUACCAAAUAAACUGACUAACUUGGGGCAGGUUACAAGCAUAGAAGCCUUUGUCACCUUUUGCAAAUUUGACGUUAUCGGAGAUAAAAGAACAGGUUGUCUUCUGAAGCUUUUGAUUUCAAACUAUAAGUUAAUUAUUAAAUAAACAAUAAGGACAAGGAUGGAAACAAAAAACACGCGGACAAUUUUCCCUUGGUACAAGGAGAGGUUGCAGACCAAGUAUCAUAAAGCCCCAGCAAACAAGAUGGCCGUGAUUGGUAGUUGCUCGUCAGUCUUAUCCGGAGAGAGAGGUGUCUCACCAGUUAUUUUUCAUGACACUCCAGACCAGAAGUCCAGCAUAGGAAGUCAAAAGCAUAAAAAGUGCAUCUCUAAAGAACAUGCUUGCUUUUCAAAGCAGAUGACCCAAAAAGCAGAUUCGCAGGGAAUACGUGGCUGCUGUGGAGGAAAAACUCAAACAGCAUCCUCUGGCUAUGUACCCACACUAUAAGGAUCAUAUGACCCCAGAUUUAUUUGAUAAGGUGUUAUCCGUUCUGUACCCAGACAUGAGCGUUAACAGUGCCUCUGCACUUCCUACGCUUACAGGAGAGGAUGUGGAGGAGGAAGAUGAGGAAGAGCCAAGUCAGGAAGAAGUAAACUGGCAAAAGCAACAGUACAAAUGGCCGAAACCCAAGUCCCAGAACCCACACAUAAGGACAUGAUGAAGCCACCAAACCUUUCACCAGACAGUUUGCCUCUCUGGACGAAGAGACAAAUGUUACUGAAUCUGAAGUACUGGGCCUUUCAGACUCUUCAUCUCCAACUUUCCCCAUAUAAGUGGAAGACGCCAACCACUUCAACCGUUUCAAAGGCCUCUAAGCUAAAUAAAGCACAAAAAGAUACAUUUCACACAUUCUUAAACCCACAAAUCAAAAUACAAUUUUUGAUGGCUACUGAUUAGAAAAAUCCAAUGCACGUACAGUAAAACACUUGCAUGUCCAAAAAUGCUCUUCAACACCACACUGUAAAAAAAAAAAAAAAGAGAAGAAUUUUGAAAUAUCUUUGUUUUAGUAUACAAGGAAACAUGGACAAUUAAGCAAUGCGUAUAAGCAGAGGGGGGUCAGAGGUUUUAUGAUAAUUGAUGCCUAAAAUGAACUUAAACAACAAAUAUAGAUGCAGCAUUAUUGUUAAAGGUGCUCUAAGUGAUGUCACACGUGUUUUAGGCUACAUUUGUUGUUACAUACAGCAAACAUCUCCUCACCAUCUGCAAGCUGCUUGUCCCCAGAACACACUGUAACAAAACGCAGUCUCUGUAGACAGCCCAAGGUCUACAGACGGCAACAAAAACAAACUGUGCCCACCUGCACCACGAAGAAUACACAGUGUUUCAGCCAAUAACCGACAAGAAGGAUUUGGGGGUGGGGGGUUAGUACGCGGAAGCCCAGAAGGGAGGGGAUGGGAUGAGGAGGAGGGAGGGGCAUGCGAGUCUUGUUUUGUUUGAAGAUACAGUACUUUGAACACCAACAAGAAGUAACGUCACCCUAAUCGCUUAGAGCACCUUUAACUAUCUUCUCUAUAUUUAUAUCAAGCUUGUUUUACUGUGUACCUCCAAAAAUGCAAAUAUUGUAGACAUUAUAGUAGUAGUUCUUAUUUUAACUUGGUAUGAUUCCUGGAAUUAAAAAUAACAACUCAAACAUAAUUUUUAAUAGACUUUAUUUAAACAAUAAAUUACAAAAACAAAAGCCUAAUUGGUGAUUUCGUAAAACCAUUUUUGACAACUUCAUCUGGGGAGUCUUUCAAAAUAAAAAAGGACCUUUCUGAAAGACAAAAAAAAAAGUGAAGUAAUUGAAUUAAUUCUGAGGAAUUACAGGAUUACAGAGAUUAUGAUCAUUCAUUAACAUUUACACAGAUUUAUGAAAAAGGUCUGUGAACUGCUAAAAGACACUUAACAGGGAACGUUGCUGUUGCUGAAAUGGACUUUGUCACGUCAUUACAUCCUGAUACAUCAGACUUGUGUGCUAUGACAUUUCAUGUAAAAUAUCUCUCUGUGUUAUCAUUGGUAUUAAUCAGCUGUAUUAAAGUGAA
Molecule: long non-coding RNA, 2103 nt
Organism: Etheostoma spectabile (orangethroat darter)
Lineage: Eukaryota; Metazoa; Chordata; Actinopteri; Perciformes; Percidae
Exons: 5
Source: RefSeq, a predicted model, not a curated record